RNAcentral lists this long non-coding RNA (588 nucleotides) under Homo sapiens (human). RNAcentral's name for it is "non-protein coding lnc-RABL2A-7:2". Lineage: Eukaryota; Metazoa; Chordata; Mammalia; Primates; Hominidae. The record is from RNAcentral.
CUUCCGGGAGGGCGGCUCGCGGGCACCAUGACUCCUGUGAGGAUGCAGCACUCCCUGGCAGGUCAGACCUAUGCCGUGCCCCUCAUCCAGCCAGACCUGCGGUGAGAGGAGGCCGUCCAGCAGAUGGCAGAUGCCCUGCAGUACCUGCAGAAGGUCUCUGGAGACAUCUUCAGCAGGUGUUCUCCAGUGCCAAGUACCCUGCUCCAGAGCGCCUGCAGGAAUAUGGCUCCAUCUUCACGGGCGCCCAGGACCCUGGCCUGCAGAGACGCCCCCGCCACAGGAUCCAGAGCAAGCACCGCCCCCUGGACGAGCGGGCCCUGCAGGAGAAGCUGAAGGACUUUCCUGUGUGCGUGAGCACCAAGCCGGAGCCCGAGGACGAUGCAGAAGAGGGACUUGGGGGUCUUCCCAGCAACAUCAGCUCUGUCAGCUCCUUGCUGCUCUUCAACACCACCUAGAACCUGUACAAGAAGUAUGUCUUCCUGGACCCCCUGGCUGGUGCUGUAACAAAGACCCAUGUGAUGCUGGGGGCAGAGACAGAGGAGAAGCUGUUUGAUGCCCCCUUGUCCAUCAGCAAGAGAGAGCAGCUGG